This 571-nucleotide ribosomal RNA is filed under the name uncultured bacterium. Its description in RNAcentral is "bacterial SSU rRNA". It matches the Rfam family "Bacterial small subunit ribosomal RNA", at positions 181 to 738 of the family's 1533-position model. The record is from RNAcentral.
CGACACCGCAUGGUGUUGAUUUGAAAGACGCUUUCGGGUGUCACUGAUGGAUGGACCCGCGGUGCAUUAGCUAGUUGGUGAGGUAACGGCUCACCAAGGCGAUGAUGCAUAGCCGACCUGAGAGGGUGAUCGGCCACACUGGGACUGAGACACGGCCCAGACUCCUACGGGAGGCAGAAGUAGGGAAUCUUCGGCAAUGGACGAAAGUCUGACCGAGCAACGCCGCGUGAGUGAAGAAGGUUUUCGGAUCGUAAAACUCUGUUGUUAGAGAAGAAUAAGUAGGAGAGUAACUGCUCUUACCUUGACGGUAUCUAACCAGAAAGCCACGGCUAACUACGUGCCAGCAGCCGCGGUAAUACGUAGGUGGCAAGCGUUGUCCGGAUUUAUUGGGCGUAAAGCGAGCGCAGGCGGUUUCUUAAGUCUGAUGUGAAAGCCCCCGGCUCACCCGGGGAGGGUCAUUGGAAACUGGGAGACUUGAGUGCAGAAGAGGAGAGUGGAAUUCCAUGUGUAGCGGUGAAAUGCGUARAUAUAUGGAGGAACACCAGUGGCGAAGGCGACUCUCUGGUCUGUA